UACGUAGGGUGCGAGCGUUGUCCGGAAUUACUGGGCGUAAAGAGCUCGUAGGUGGUUUGUCGCGUUGUUCGUGAAAUCUCACGGCUUAACUGUGAGCGUGCGGGCGAUACGGGCAGACUAGAGUACUGCAGGGGAGACUGGAAUUCCUGGUGUAGCGGUGGAAUGCGCAGAUAUCAGGAGGAACACCGGUGGCGAAGGCGGGUCUCUGGGCCACUACUGACGCUGAGAAGCGAAAGCGUGGGGAGCGAACAGG
RNAcentral lists this ribosomal RNA (253 nucleotides) under uncultured bacterium. RNAcentral describes it as "partial 16S ribosomal RNA". It matches the Rfam family "Bacterial small subunit ribosomal RNA", at positions 524 to 776 of the family's 1533-position model. The record is from RNAcentral.